This 217-nucleotide unclassified non-coding RNA is filed under the name Paraglomerales sp. Its description in RNAcentral is "partial contains 5.8S ribosomal RNA and internal transcribed spacer 2". The stretch from base 1 to 66 matches the Rfam family "5.8S ribosomal RNA", at positions 84 to 154 of the family's 154-position model. Lineage: Eukaryota; Fungi; Glomeromycota; Glomeromycetes; Paraglomerales. The record is from RNAcentral.
GUGAAUCAUCGAAUUUUUGAACGCAAAUUGCGCCUUCUUUCGGGAGGCAUGUCUGUUUGAGGGCACCAUUUAACAAAUAAUGUGAGCGUCGUCUGUGCAUACUAGCGGCGUGCACACGUUGAUGAGCUUUUCCGAGUAAACCAGGUUUUUUCGGAGGUGCAUAAUGAAUAGCGUGGGCUUUUUCUUUCGUUUCUUGUAUAGUAAGUAAAUUUAGCCG